Molecule: long non-coding RNA, 1143 nt
Filed under: Sus scrofa (pig)
Lineage: Eukaryota; Metazoa; Chordata; Mammalia; Artiodactyla; Suidae
Description: lncRNA (ENSSSCG00050020542.1)
Rfam family: Bacterial small subunit ribosomal RNA (bases 153-620)
Source: RNAcentral
AACAUUAAGAAAAUUGAAAUCAUAUCAAGCAUCUUUUCUGACCACAAUGCUAUACGACCAGAAAUCAACAACAAGAAAAAAACUGCAAAAAACACAAACACAUGGAGACUCAACAACAUGCCCAAAUAGUUAUAUAACAAAACUAUUCGCCAGAGUACUACUCGCAACAGCCUAAAACUCAAAGGACUUGGCGGUGCUUCACAUCCACCUAGAAGAGCCUGUUCUAUAAUCGAUAAACCCCGAUAGACCUUACCAACUCUUGCCAAUUCAGCCUAUAUACCGCCAUCUUCAGCAAACCCUAAAAAGGAACAAUAGUAAGCACAAUCAUAACACAUAAAAACGUUAGGUCAAGGUGUAGCUUAUGAGUUGGAAAGAAAUGGGCUACAUUUUCUGCAUAAGAAUAUUCACCGUACGAAAGUUUUUAUGAAACUAAAAACCAAAGGAGGAUUUAGCAGUAAAUUAAGAGUAGAGUGCUUGAUUGAAUAAGGCCAUGAAGUACGCACACACCGCCCGUCACCCUCCUCAAGCAUAUAGUAAUACAAAAUAACCUAUAUUUAAUUACAUAAUCAUGCAAGAGGAGACAAGUCGUAACAAGGUAAGCAUACUGGAAAGUGUGCUUGGAUUACCAAAGCAUAGCUUAAACUAAAGUACCUAGUUUACACCUAGAAGAUCCCACAAUAUAUGGGUGCUUUGAACUAAAGCUAGCUCAACAUACUAAAUAAAUACAAAAAUACACCAAAAUAAAAUAAAACAUUCACCUAACAUUAAAGUAUAGGAGAUAGAAAUUUUUAUCCUGACGCUAUAGAGAUAGUACCGUAAGGGAAAGAUGAAAGAAUAAAAUAAAAGUAAAAAAAAGCAAAGAUUACCCCUUCUACCUUUUGCAUAAUGGUUUAACCAGAAAAAAUCUAACAAAGAGAACUUUAGCUAGAUACCCCGAAACCAGACGAGCUACCUAUGAGCAGUUUAAAAGAACCAACUCAUCUAUGUGGCAAAAUAGUGAGAAGACUUGUAGGUAGAGGUGAAAAGCCUAACGAGCCUGGUGAUAGCUGGUUGUCCGAGAAAAGUCUAAAAAGGUACAGCUUUUUAGAAACGGAUACAACCUUGACUAGAGAGUAAAAUCUUAAUACUACCAUAGUAGGCCUA